CACAAUGCUAUCGAUCAGACAGCUACGUAGACAAAGAGAUAAUAAUCACGUCGGUUUGAAGAUGUCACUGCGUGUACGUUGCCAUGUACAAUGAUAUGAAAUAUGGAUACGUACGAUACGACCAACGUAGAACGCGUCCUUGCAGUAUCUUUGUCAUCGAAGACGCGUUAGUUGGAGGCGGUGGCCUUUGACACGAGAUCGCUAGAGUGUCUGACGUUUUAAUUGCUUUGGCUGGCGAGAAUCAGGUUAGGUUCAAGCAAAAGCGUUCGCGAUAACGAGGGCAAUGUUUCGACGUUGACUACGAUGGACGAGAAAUUACGACGUUUUGGCCCUUGACAACGAGGUUGUUCGUCGAGCUUCGCGAAAGCAAAGUAACAGUUUGGUAAUGAGAUGUUUCCUUCGUCUGCGCGAUUUAUUGCAUGGUUAUAGCAGCCACGGAGUACAAAAUGUGGAAGAAAAUGGCACGGGAGAGCGAUUCCAGUUGGACAAAUAAAUCCGGCGACACGUAGAAGAGGCGGGAUAAUACAGUGCAGAGUAACUUUCGUUGAAAAAACAAGCCGAAAAUUGAAGAGAAUUCAAGAAACGACGCUGGAACACGCUGCGAAACACUGAACCAGGUUCUCUAGACGUGGCGGUAGCCUCUCAAGGUCCGCGUGGGUCAGUCACAACAGCCGACUGUGCAAACGGCGAAAACCAUAGAAAACGAAGCACAAUUGUGGAGGAACAAGCCCGUUUGCUACACGCCAGGCGGCAAGUUUCGCUGUACGUGUCCGCCUGGCGAGCCAAGCUACUACCAUACACGACGAUGGUGGUCGGUGAGCCGGCGACAGACUGCGGAUCAUUUCUUUUUUCCACCUACCAACCGCCCACGACGGGUCGUCGGUGGAGGAAUAAAUAGGAACCGGGGGCAGCAGACGCGGUGCAACAGAAAUGAUUCAUCUGUCGAAGAAUCGAUAAACGAGCGCUUCCAUGGCUGGUUUUAUAAUUUUAUUUUAAAAUUCCUAUUUCCUGGCGAUAACAAGAGGAAGAAUAUAACGAAUAAUAAUGGAAUUGUAUAGAAGAGGAACAAUAUAAUGAAUUUUCUGUGCUUCUAUUUACUUAGAAUGGAAAUAAUUUUCUAUCGUUUGCUAUACCAAAGCGUGGACGCCGAAUGAAUUAUUGCUUUGCUUUAUCAAUAUGACGCGAUAAACAGUAAUCUCAUAUAUUAAUAAAUAUGCAGAAAUUGAUUAAUCGGAUAACAUAAGAAGUAACAUAAAAUUAGACGAAUAAAAGAAAUAACAGUAAAUGUACAAUUUUACAUUAAACAUUGAAAUCGGCCAUUUGGUAAUGUUAAUGUUAAAACUGAGAAAAGGCAAGUAAUUGUAUUUAUUGGGUUGGCAACUAAGUGAUUGCGGAUUUUGUCAUUAGGUGGUAUUGAUAAAAUCCGCAAUCACUUAGUUGCCAACCUAAUAGUUCUCUUGUUUUCUGCAACUUGCCACGUGUCUUUUAACAAACGUUAGAAGUUUUGUAGACUUGUGUUUUAUAGACUUUUGAAAUUUAUCAGACAAUUUUUGUAAUACAACAAGGAAGCAAAAAGCAUUUUUGCAAGCACUGAAUGGGGUUGUAUCGUGUUCACGAUUCGAUCAAUUACGAAAAUCGUAAACGACAAUUUCCUUAUUUUUCAGAUAUUCUGCUCAUUGUUAUUUCGUAUCGUAGAGCUCAACUUAGUGUCACUUUAAAAUACUCGUCGGAUAAUGACGAAUUUCGCUUUAUAUAAACGUCCGUUUUCUUUAUCUAAAAAUCGUUAUCGUCUUCCAAUUCUGAGACUCUUCUUUUAUCUACUUUUAUCCGCUUAUUUAUAAAAUAGCGCCAAUCUCAGAACUAAUUCGAAAUACAGAAUCAUUAUCUGUCUAUCUAUUAAUAACUUACAUCACUGACGUUAGCCGGAAGUCAUCCGUCGAUAAACAAAUUCACUUUCGCUGCUCGAAGCAAUUGAUUAAUAAUUACUAACCAUAAAAGUAGAAUUUUCGCUCUUGAGAAACGAUACCUUCGACAGCAAUGCAAAUAUUUCGUAAAAAUACCAAUGAAAAUAUUAACAAUUUACCGACCGCUAACGAUUCAACACCAUACGCACGUCCGAUCGGCAACUCCGGCGCAGAUUCUCCCUAGCGCCGCCUCUGUUUCGGUUUAGACUUUCCAAUACCAUUCUUUUCGUUCAUCGCGAACGGUAAGUUUUUCAAAUUGGUAUAAAACUGUGGGAGCCUACAAAGCAACGCAAUUGACGCAACUGAGCAAGGUACCUUAGUACUAAAUGACAAAUUACCGCUCAAAAAAUGAGAAAAAUUGUCGGCGACAAACAGCCGAUUAAUAGGCUAUCGGUCGGUAAGCAUCGGCGACAAACAGCCGAUUAAUAGGCUAUCGGUCGAUAAAGCGUUAAUAACACAAUUUGUACAAUCGUUGACCUCUGGAUGACACGCGUAAGUUCCGUAGAACAAAUGGACAACCUUCCACGCCAUUGAAAAAAUCAAUAGGAUAAAUGGAAUUGCUCCGCUUUUACAAUAAACAAAUAAUUUCGCAUUCCGAUCAGCCGACAAGUUUACGCUGACCAACUUCACGCGCAUACAUCCGACACUGCUUUCACACUAUUGAAACAAUUGAUUUGCGAAAAAGCAUAAAACUUGCGUUUCAUUCGAUAAACGCACGAGAGAAAAGAUAACACGUGUAGGAAAAUAUCAUUUUUUGAAAAAUCCGCGUUUUACUCGUCGUCGAUGUCCAUUGCUAUUGCAACGAAUACGUUUGUCCAUUAGUAGGAAAAAAAUGAUUUUCGUCGCACGAAAUAUGUGCCGUCCGAUCGUUUCGUAUCAGUUACGACGACGUGUUUCGUUGUGUUCUUGUACAAAUCGGGGAAAUUUAAAACGAUAUAAUUUCAAUUCUCCUCGAGCCAAAUUAAAUUCUCUUUACUCGAUCAAGUUCUGACUGUUGGUGAAUGUUCAAUCUGCGGCUUAUUGGACGAACGAACAACACCUUGCGUUGUUUCUUGAAACAGAAUGAAGAAAUGUAAAACGAUAUAAUCUCGAUUCUCUUUGCAUCGAAUCAAGUGAUUCUUUGUUCGCUCAAGAUCUCAGUUGUACGAUCUGACGAUCGUUAAACAAACGAACAGCAUCCUUCAGAUGCUUUAUGCUCUUACCGCGACUCUACAACAGUCGGUUGUUUGUAACAGCGAUAACAAAGUGGAAUUUGUCUCAUGAUGAAGCGGUUCUUGGAAGGUCUGUCGGUUUCUUCGGUUUGAGGAUAAAAAUAAACGAAACGUGCGAAAAAUAUCGUUUCAAGGUAAGUAAAACCGUGCAAAUAUGAAUAAAACGUGGUAAAAAAAGAGUCGCGUAAUUUUAACCAAGACGUGUUAAACAAAUUGUGUAAAAGUUAAUAACACGUGUUAAAAGGUCGUUGUAAAAGUGGAUCUUGUAGGAAGAUUCCCAGGUGUAAUAAAAAUUUCGAUGCUAAUUUCAUAGCAAACUGUAAUUUCCUUUUCGAUAAAAGCCCAAAAACAGGGUGGAAUUGAAUUUUUUUGAAAAAUGAAGUUACCCCACUUUCACGUAUUCCACUUUAGAUUAGUCGUUUACUUUUUUCCUGGCUGCUACGUGCAUUGUGAUAUAACAUGUUAAUAAUAAUGCAAUAUUAUGUUAUACAAAUAAUGUAUAUAAUAUUAUAUAUUACUAGUAUUUUUGUUU
Long non-coding RNA from Bombus pyrosoma, 3707 nucleotides. RefSeq lists it as uncharacterized. Lineage: Eukaryota; Metazoa; Arthropoda; Insecta; Hymenoptera; Apidae. The transcript is spliced from 5 exons. The record is from RefSeq and is a predicted model, not a curated record.